GAAGUAAGUCAGACAGUCGCGGGCACAAAAACCGAAAGGUUGUGCGUGAGGAACGUCCGAGCUUCAUAGAGCAGGGUGCUGGAUAACACCCAGUCAAGGUGACUUGAAGGAAAGUGCAACAGAAAUAAACCACCUACUUAUGUAGGAAAGGAUGGAAAGGCGAGGUAAGAGCUCACCGUCCUCUAGGUGACUAGAGGAGCAAUGUAAACCCCACCCGAAGCAAGACCGUACAAAAACUAAUAUGGCUGCUCGUCAUAGUUUUAGGUUGGUCGCUAAAGCAACUAGGCAACUAUUUGCGUAGAUAGAUGACUGUCAAAUACAGGACUCGGCGUAUAGAUUUGGUUUUCAA
Molecule: RNase P RNA, 349 nt
Filed under: Epulopiscium sp. Nele67-Bin004
Lineage: Bacteria; Bacillati; Bacillota; Clostridia; Lachnospirales; Lachnospiraceae
Description: Bacterial RNase P class A
Rfam family: Bacterial RNase P class A
About the family: Ribonuclease P (RNase P) is a ubiquitous endoribonuclease, found in archaea, bacteria and eukarya as well as chloroplasts and mitochondria. Its best characterised activity is the generation of mature 5'-ends of tRNAs by cleaving the 5'-leader elements of precursor-tRNAs.
Source: Rfam by way of RNAcentral